GAUGAACGCUGGCGGCGUGCCUAAUACAUGCAAGUCGAGCGAACAGACGAGGAGCUUGCUCCUCUGACGUUAGCGGCGGACGGGUGAGUAACACGUGGAUAACCUACCUAUAAGACUGGGAUAACUUCGGGAAACCGGAGCUAAUACCGGAUAAUAUAUUGAACCGCAUGGUUCAAUAGUGAAAGACGGUUUUGCUGUCACUUAUAGAUGGAUCCGCGCCGCAUUAGCUAGUUGGUAAGGUAACGGCUUACCAAGGCAACGAUGCGUAGCCGACCUGAGAGGGUGAUCGGCCACACUGGAACUGCGACACGGUCCAGACUCCUACGGGAGGCAGCAGUAGGGAAUCUUCCGCAAUGGGCGAAAGCCUGCCGGAGCAACGCCGCGUGAGUGAUGAAGGUCUUCUGAUCGUAAAACUCUGUUAUUAGGGAAGAACAAAUGUGUAAGUAACUAUGCACGUCUUGACGGUACCUAAUCAGAAAGCCACGGCUAACUACGUG
Molecule: ribosomal RNA, 497 nt
Filed under: uncultured bacterium
Lineage: Bacteria
Description: partial 16S ribosomal RNA
Rfam family: Bacterial small subunit ribosomal RNA
Source: RNAcentral